GACGAACGCUGGCGGCGUGCUUAACACAUGCAAGUCGAACGGAAAGGCCCUGCUUUUGUGGGGUGCUCGAGUGGCGAACGGGUGAGUAACACGUUAGUAACCUGCCCUUGACUUUGGGAUAACUUCAGGAAACUGGGGCUAAUACCGGAUAGGAGCUCCUGCUGCAUGGUGGGGGUUGGAAAGUUUCGGCGGUUGGGGAUGGACUCGCGGCUUAUCAGCUUGUUGGUGGGGUAGUGGCUUACCAAGGCUUUGACGGGUAGCCGGCCUGAGAGGGUGACCGGCCACGUUGGGACUGAGAUACGGCACAGACUCCUACGGGAGGCAGCAGUGGGGAAUAUUGCACAAUGGGCGGAAGCCUGAUGCAGCAACGCCGCGUGCGGGAUGACGGCCUUCGGGUUGUAAACCGCUUUCGCCUGUGACGAAGCGUGAGUGACGGUAAUGGGUAAAGAAGCACCGGCUAACUACGUG
This 468-nucleotide ribosomal RNA is filed under the name uncultured bacterium. RNAcentral describes it as "partial 16S ribosomal RNA". It matches the Rfam family "Bacterial small subunit ribosomal RNA", at positions 28 to 507 of the family's 1533-position model. The record is from RNAcentral.